This 515-nucleotide ribosomal RNA is filed under the name bacterium enrichment culture clone ALO1_GLFRUDD03HB0OH. RNAcentral describes it as "bacterial SSU rRNA". It matches the Rfam family "Bacterial small subunit ribosomal RNA", at positions 9 to 520 of the family's 1533-position model. The record is from RNAcentral.
GAGUUUGAUCGUGGCUCAGAUUGAACGCUGGCGGCAGGCCUAACACAUGCAAGUCGAGCGGAUGACGGGAGCUUGCUCCUUGAUUCAGCGGCGGACGGGUGAGUAAUGCCUAGGAAUCUGCCUGGUAGUGGGGGACAACGUUUCGAAAGGAACGCUAAUACCGCAUACGUCCUACGGGAGAAAGCAGGGGACCUUCGGGCCUUGCGCUAUCAGAUGAGCCUAGGUCGGAUUAGCUAGUUGGUGGGGUAAUGGCUCACCAAGGCGACGAUCCGUAACUGGUCUGGGAGGAUGAUCAGUCACACUGGAACUGAGACACGGUCCAGACUCCUACGGGAGGCAGCAGUGGGGAAUAUUGGACAAUGGGCGAAAGCCUGAUCCAGCCAUGCCGCGUGUGUGAAGAAGGUCUUCGGAUUGUAAAGCACUUUAAGUUGGGAGGAAGGGCAGUAAGUUAAUACCUUGCUGUUUUGACGUUACGACAGAAUAAGCACCGGCUAACUCUGUGCCAGCCGCCGCUA